CGGCCUCCGCCGCGGGCUCUGCCCGCUCGCCUGCUCGCCUGGUGGGGGAGAGGGGAGCGGGGCCGACACAGGGUUCCUGACCAAGCUGGUGCUUCUGCGUGUGUUCCUGCAUGACUUGGUGUGUCCCCUUCUCUUGGAUCUACUGCAGUUGACAGCAGAUAACUGAAAGCUCGGAAAGCGAAACCGUGGAUAAGCAGGGGAACUGUGGCAUCCCAUUUAAAAUUGCUUCUGAAGAGAAGCAUGAGGUUACAUCUGUAAUCUCCCUGCAGCAGAGUCAACUGCAUAAGAAACCAAAAGACACACCUGCUCCAUGCCAGCCUAAGCCACCACAUAAAAAGUCAGACCAUCUGCUGGAAGAACCACAUGGAGAGGCCCUGAGUCAACAUGGAGAGGAAGAAGGACUUGACUGAAUCCAGCCUUCCAGCUGUCCCUACCAAGGUGCCAGGCAUGAGAAUGAAGCUGUCUUGAACUCUGAAGACCAGCUUAGCCACCAGUUUCUGUGGGCCUCAAACAACACUUUCUGCAUUUUCCCCUCUCGCCCCCUACUCAUCACUCCCUGAAAGGUAAAAGCUGCUGAAACACAUCAAGAGCCAAAGGAAUUCAGAUUGCUGAAAGGUCAUCACUUUGAUAUGAUAAAUAUUAAGAGCAUUCCCAAAGGCAAAAUUUCCAUUGUAGAAGCACUGACACUUCUUAACAAUCAUAAACUUUAUCCAGAAACAUGGACUGCUGAGAAAAUAGCGCAAGAAUACCAAUUAGAACAGAAAGAUGUGAAUUCCCUUCUUAAAUAUUUUGUUACUUUUGAAGUCAAAAUCUUCCCUCCUGAAGACAAGAAAGCAAUACAAUCAAAAUGAAGAAAAUCACAAAAAUUUCCUAUGUGUACUCCUCAUCCCUCAUCCUGACUAUUUUCUCAUUUUUGGCAUAUUAAAUUAUGUUAAUUACCAAAUGUUUAAUGCUCUCAUUGUGAGAGCAUAGUCUUUUUUUUUUUUUUUUUUUUUUUUUUGAGACGGAGUCUCACUCUGUCACCCAGGCUGGAGUGCAGUGGCGUGAUCUCAGCUCACUGCAAGCUCCGCCUUCUGGGUUCACGCCAUUCUCCUGUCUCAGCCUCCCGAGUAGCUGGGACUACAGGCGCCCGCCACCACACCCAGCUCAUUUUUUUUUUUUUUGGUAUUUUUUAGUAGAGACAGGGUUACACCACGUUAGCCAGGAUGGUCUCGAUCUCCUGACUUUGUGGUCCACCCGCCUUGGCCUCCCAAAGUGCUAGGAUUACAGGUGUGAGCCACCGCGCCUGGCUGAGCGCAUACUCUUAAUAUAUAUUGAGCUCCCUGACUUUUCAAGAUUGCCAUGGAAUAUAUUUUGUUUUCUUUUAAUUUGGUUUAGGCAUAUUUUAUAUGUACAUGUCAGCAUGUCUAAUCAGUACAUCUGCACCUUUAUUAUAAGUAGAAGAGUUAAUUUGCUAUUUUAGGCACAUCAUACCAACUCUUAAAUUGGUCAGAUGACCCCUUGGGAAAUGUCCUGAAUCCCUCAUUUAAGUUUUACUUUCCAAGUUAGGUGUUUAGUUCAUUCUUCAUAUGUGAUAGUGAAAGUAAAAGCUUUCCUGACUCGUAAGGCUGACAUUUUCUUGUUAGGGAAAGAGACUCGAUAGCAAGGUAAACUAACAGUAUUUCCCAAAUAAAGGCACACAGGAGAAAAUAAUGAAUCAAUAGAAUCUAAUUAAAAUUACUACCCCAGGGAAUAAGAAGUAUUGAGGAUUUAUUUUAUUUUGAAUUGGUUUUAAGUAUGGAAUAAUCAUCUUUACAGUUAUAAAAAAAUUAGUGUUUACAAAAUGUUGGGCAUUUCUGCUUUGACAAACAAACAGGUAAGUCCCGUGGCCUUCAGAGGCAGGCAGCAGUAGAAACUUUCCAAAAAGUAACAAUUUCUCUGGAUUUAACAUGGAAAUAGAAAAAUUUAAAGAAUAAUUAAAUUAAAAAACCAUGGUAAAUGAAAUGUGGUGAUGAUAUACAGUUUCGGAUGUUAAUGCUAGUUGAAAGAGAGAAAAAAUAUCAAGUAGAAGCAGAGGACAGGAUCAUUGGAAGGGACCUGAGAAAUUGCCGCUUCAUCCAUUUUAGCACACUUAUUAGCAUGGCAUGUACCAAUAUUAGGAAAUUGAGUGACAGUGUGUGAGUUUAGCUCUGCCUAAUAUAUUACUGCUUGUGGGAUCUUUGGGAGACUGUAUCCUCUUUGAGAUUGAAUUUCUUCUAUAAAAUGAGCAUAAUACUACCUUACUUAAAUUUAAGGGUCAUCAUGAAGAUAAAUGUACUACAUUUAUAAACAGUAAAGUACUACAAAGGACCAAGCAAAUACGAAUUAUUUUUUGCAGUGGAGAAACAAGCGCCCGGUGAGAAUAUAUGACCUAAGGUUCUGUAGUUUAUGACCUAACCAGGCCCAGAAUGAAGUUUUUCAUAUCCUAGUAGUGUGUUUUUUCUGUUUUGACAAAAAACAGCAUACCUCAGAGAAGGAAAAAAGUGUGAAUUGUGGGUAUAUUGGGGUUAUCAGUGUGCUUCUGAGGGAAGACAGGCAUCACUACUUCCCAGAGAUGCCCUGGAAAUGAUAUAGAAGAUGCUGAAGAAUUCAACGUGAUAACAGAAUGAGGCAUUUGUAGUAAUGCUGAGAACAGAAAAAUGGACUAAGUGGAAAAUUUGUUUGCAUGUCUUUGAAUGUAGAUUUGUUAUGUGAACAAACUACCUAGUUUAUUUUUAGUUCAAUACAAUAAUUGUUUUAAGAAAACAUGAAAUAACUACUCAAUAUAAAAUGCAUUUUAAAACUCCUAUUAAAAAAGAUCACAGGAAAAUUGCUUGAUUUCUCCAUCAGUUAAAUUUACCACCGUGCACACGUUAUGUGGUUAAAAAUCUGAUUGUUUUCCUCCCCCACUCGAUACCAAAUGCAAGUACAUUUCCUGUUCCUUCCAAGGCCAUAACAAUUUGGUGCCUAAUCUAAAAUCUUUGAAACUUUGCCUAAUUUAAAUUUGGUGGCGAGGCUCUAUGGAAAUUCCCCUUCAGACUGAUAGUUGACAGAAGGCCAGGCAUUCAGAAGAAUCACGCAGGGAAGAUCGUGUUUGUUCUAAAAAGGCAAACCUUCCUACUCAGAAAAGAUUUUUUUUUUCCUGCCAGGAAAAUUGAGAACAACAGAUUGUAGAACUUCAUUGUAGCUCAUGGACUGAAAAGGCAAAGUCAUGGAAAGGAGGGAGAAGGGGCAUUGUGGAAUUCCCAUGUGUGUUAAUUUUUUCUUAGGAGUGCUAAAAAAAACCUCUCGGCCUCUUCCCAAGAACUCUUGAUAAUGAAAAUAUCACCAUAGUGCUCAAAAUGGAACAGUAAUUAAUGGAAGUGGUAUUUUGGGGGAGUACAGAUGACUUGGAAUCCAACAACGAGAUGUUAAGCAACAUUUUCCUGGAUCCCACAGUCUAGUCCUAUAAUGGAAGGCAAUAUGCCCAGUGAUUUUUUUUUUUCAUCUACACAAGGGAUUCUACGUGUAGAAAACCUGUUAGCUAUUUCCAUUAGCUUCCACUUAUUAACACUGUGGUUUACCAGAACAUUCUAAACCUCUCAUGUUGGGCAAGUAUUUCAUUCUAUAAAACUUUUAAACCAGAACUAUGACAAUGAGCAGGGAACCACUUUUCUUUUUCACUUCCCAGGUGGAGGUCUGAAUUAGCAGUUAAAUGGCCAGAAGGCAGGGAAGAAAAGGGAAACACCAACUCCAAAUAUCUGACCUGCCAGAAAAACUGACCCUAAGUAGUAAAUGACCCAGCAUCAUUCCAUUUGGUUUCUAUCAUUAAAAUUAGUGCCUGGCCUGAGCCAACAGGUGGAGGCUGCAGUGAGCCAUGAUUGCACCAGUGCACUCCAGCCUGGGUGACAAAGCAAGACCCUGUCUCAAACAAACAAAGAAACAAACAAACAAACAAAAAUAGUGCUUGGACAACUUAUCUUGUGGGUAGAGCAUAAAAGUCUGCAUGGAACACUCAUUCUCCUCACUGAGUAGGGAAUGCCCAACCCCUCACUCAUUCAGGAAUUCAUUUUCAUCCCAGACUCCCUGAUGUUCUCAUCUCUUGCUCACCAAAAACGGACAGGACUGAAGUUUUAUUGAGGUCCUAAGCAUUAUUACUAUUGGUUUUUUUUUUUUUGUUUGUUUGUUUUUUGUUUUUUUGAGACGGAGUCUUACUCCGUUGC
Molecule: long non-coding RNA, 4199 nt
Filed under: Homo sapiens (human)
Lineage: Eukaryota; Metazoa; Chordata; Mammalia; Primates; Hominidae
Description: HSALNT0311241
Source: RNAcentral